Molecule: unclassified non-coding RNA, 275 nt
Filed under: Panonychus citri (citrus red mite)
Lineage: Eukaryota; Metazoa; Arthropoda; Arachnida; Trombidiformes; Tetranychidae
Source: RNAcentral
AAUUGUCAGAGUAUCUUGAUUUAAUUAACGUUCUGGCUUUUGAUUACCACGGAGGUUGGGAAGGUAAAACUGGUCAUCACUCACCUUUGUUUGAUAAAUCAGCUGAUCAAGGGAUCGAUUCAAUUUCCAAUGUUAAUUACACAAUUAACUAUUGGAUUGAAAGAGGAGCUUCACCAAGUAAAUUGGUUCUCGGCUUGGCAACGUUUGGACGGAGCUUUACAAUUAAGGAAUCGACCGUUGAUUGUGCGAUUGGUGCUAAAGUAAUUAAACCCUCG